Molecule: ribosomal RNA, 406 nt
Filed under: uncultured bacterium
Lineage: Bacteria
Description: partial 16S ribosomal RNA
Rfam family: Bacterial small subunit ribosomal RNA
Source: RNAcentral
GAUGAACGCUAGCUACAGGCUUAACACAUGCAAGUCGAGGGACCGGCGCACGGGUGAGUAACACGUACCCAACCUGCCCUUUACUCGGGGAUAGCCUUUCGCAAGAAAGAUUAAUACCCGACACAAAGGAUGGGGAUGCGUUCCAUUAGGUUGUUGGUGAGGUAACGGCUAACCAAGCCUUCGCUGGAUAGGGGUUAUGAGAGGAAGGUCCCCGACAUUGGAACUGAGACACGGUCCAAGCUCGUACGGGGAGCAGCAGUGAGGAAUAUUGGUCAGUGGGCGCUAGCCUGACCCAGCCAAGUAGCGUGAAGGAUGAAGGCUUAUGGGUCGUAGACUUCUUUUAUAUAAGGAUAUGUAUUAUAUGAAUAAGGAUCGGCUAACUCCGUGUCAGCAGCCGCGGUAAUUC